GUGUGGUAGGGGCAGAGGGAAUUCCCGGUGUAGCGGUGAAAUGCGUAGAUAUCGGGAAGAACACCAGUGGCGAAGGCGCUCUGCUGGGCCAUAACUGACGCUCAUGGACGAAAGCCAGGGAGCGAAAGGGAUUAGAUACCCCUGUAGUCCUGGCCGUAAACGAUGAACACUAGGUGUCUGGGGAAUCGACCCCCUCGGUGUCGUAGCCAACGCGUUAAGUGUUCCGCCUGGGGAGUACGCACGCAAGUGUGAAACUCAAAGGAAUUGACGGGGGCCCGCACAAGCGGUGGAGUAUGUGAUUUAAUUCGAUGCAACGCGAAGAACCUUACCAGGGAUUGACAUCCUACGAAUCUCUUGGAAACGAGAGAGUGCCUUCGGGAGCGCAGUGACAGGUGGUGCAUGGCUGUCGUCAGCUCGUGUCGUGAGAUGUUGGGUUAAGUCCCGCAACGAGCGCAACCCACGUCGUUAGUUGCCAGCAUUUAGUUGGGCACUCUAGCGAGACCGCCGGUGAUAAACCGGAGGAAGGUGUGGAUGACGUCAAGUCAUCAUGCCCCUUACAUCCUGGGCUACACACGUACUACAAUGCUACGGACAAAGGGCAACAAGCUCGCGAGAGUUAGCAUAUCCCAUAAACCGUGGCUCAGUUCAGAUCGUAGGCUGCAACUCGCCUACGUGAAGGAGGAAUCGCUAGUAAUCGCAGGUCAGCAUACUGCGGUGAAUACGUUCCCGGGCCUUGUACACACCGCCCGUCACACCAUGGAAGUUGGCCACGCCCGAAGCCGUUACUCCAACCCUUGUGGAGGAGGACGUCGAAGGUGAGGCUGAUGACUGGGGUGAAGUCGUAACAAGGUAGCCGUACCGGAAGGUGCGGCUGGAUCACCUCCUAA
This 887-nucleotide ribosomal RNA is filed under the name uncultured Synechococcus sp. RNAcentral describes it as "bacterial SSU rRNA". It matches the Rfam family "Bacterial small subunit ribosomal RNA", at positions 646 to 1533 of the family's 1533-position model. The record is from RNAcentral. Lineage: Bacteria; Bacillati; Cyanobacteriota; Cyanophyceae; Synechococcales; Synechococcaceae.